This 489-nucleotide ribosomal RNA is filed under the name uncultured Bacillota bacterium. RNAcentral's name for it is "bacterial SSU rRNA". It matches the Rfam family "Bacterial small subunit ribosomal RNA", at positions 355 to 836 of the family's 1533-position model. The record is from RNAcentral. Lineage: Bacteria; Bacillati; Bacillota.
UAGGGAAUCUUCCACAAUGGACGGAAGUCUGAUGGAGCAACGCCGCGUGAGCGAAGAAGGUUUUCGGAUCGUAAAGCUCUGUUGUGAGGGAAGAACAAGUGCAGGAGUAACUGCCUGUACUUUGACGGUACCUCAUUAGAAAGCCACGGCUAACUACGUGCCAGCAGCCGCGGUAAUACGUAGGUGGCAAGCGUUGUCCGGAAUUAUUGGGCGUAAAGCGCGCGCAGGCGGCCUUUUAAGUCUGAUGUGAAAUCCCACGGCUCAACCGUGGAAAGUCAUUGGAAACUGGAAGGCUUGAGUACAGAAGAGGAAAGCGGAAUUCCACGUGUAGCGGUGAAAUGCGUAGAGACGUGGAGGAACACCAGUGGCGAAGGCGGCUUUCUGGUCUGUAACUGACGCUGAGGCGCGAAAGCGUGGGGAGCAAACAGGAUUAGAUACCCUGGUAGUCCACGCCGUAAACGAUGAGUGCUAAGUGUUAGGGGGUUUCCG